GGGGUGAUGGCGCAGCUGGGAGCGCGUUAGACUGAAGUGUCAACUUCGGUUUCAACAGCCAAUUGGUUGUAUUUGAUAUCUAAAGGUCACCGGUUCAAUCCCGGUUCAUCCCA
Aspergillus clavatus NRRL 1 is the source of this 113-nucleotide transfer RNA. It matches the Rfam family "tRNA". From Rfam's summary of the family: Transfer RNA (tRNA) molecules are approximately 80 nucleotides in length. The record is from Rfam. NCBI's taxonomy places the organism in Eukaryota, Fungi, Ascomycota, Eurotiomycetes, Eurotiales, Aspergillaceae.